GACGAACGCUGGCGGCGUGCUUAACACAUGCAAGUCGAACGGAAAGGCCCUGCUUUCGUGGGGUGCUCGAGUGGCGAACGGGUGAGUAACACGUGAGUAACCUGCUCUUGACUUUGGGAUAACUUCAGGAAACUGGGGCUAAUACCGGAUAGGAGCUCCUGCUGCAUGGUGGGGGUUGGAAAGUUUCGGCGGGUGGGGAUGGACUCGCGGCUUAUCAGCUUGUUGGUGGGGUAGUGGCUUACCAAGGCUUUGACGGGUAGCCGGCCUGGGUGGGUGACCGGCCAAAUUGGGACUGAGAUACGGCCCAGACUCCUACGGGAGGCAGCAGUGGGGAAUAUUGCACAAUGGGCGGAAGCCUGAUGCAGCAACGCCGCGUGCGGGAUAACGGCCUUCGGUUUGUAAACCGCUUUCGCCUGUGACGAAGCGUGAGUGACGGUAAUGGGUAAAGAAGCACCGGCUAACUACGUG
RNAcentral lists this ribosomal RNA (468 nucleotides) under uncultured bacterium. RNAcentral's name for it is "partial 16S ribosomal RNA". It matches the Rfam family "Bacterial small subunit ribosomal RNA", at positions 28 to 507 of the family's 1533-position model. The record is from RNAcentral.